UACGUAGGUGACAAGCGUUGUCCGGAUUUACUGGGCGUAAAGGGCGCGUAGGCGGCCACCGCAAGUCGACUGUGAAAUCUCCGGGCUUAACCCGGAAAGGUCAGCCGAUACUGCGGGGCUAGAGUGCAGAAGGGGCAACUGGAAUUCUCGGUGUAGCGGUGAAAUGCGUAGAUAUCGAGAGGAACACCUGCGGCGAAGGCGGGUUGCUGGGCUGACACUGACGCUGAGGCGCGAAAGCUAGGGGAGCGAACGGG
RNAcentral lists this ribosomal RNA (254 nucleotides) under uncultured bacterium. Its description in RNAcentral is "partial 16S ribosomal RNA". It matches the Rfam family "Bacterial small subunit ribosomal RNA", at positions 524 to 776 of the family's 1533-position model. The record is from RNAcentral.